Molecule: long non-coding RNA, 2600 nt
Organism: Acanthopagrus latus (yellowfin seabream)
Lineage: Eukaryota; Metazoa; Chordata; Actinopteri; Spariformes; Sparidae
Exons: 3
Source: RefSeq, a predicted model, not a curated record
AGAAGUACAGACUCUGUGGCUGCAGCAAGACGUUUCAGAAUGAUUCUUCCUGAGCUCCUCCACACCUACGCCCAUUGGCCCCCUUCAUGAUGAUGCCGUUACAUUCACCACCUUUUGUGCUCCCAUCCUCCCCGUCUGACACCGGUCGCCGAGGGUUAAUGACGAGUGGAAACUGUGACCCCAGACCGUGACCGUUGAACCUGACCUGUGAAAGACAGCAGGAUAACAUCAGGAGAAGCAAGACUGACUGCUGAAUAGAGCGGGAUCAACAGCAGAAUGACUGUCAGAGUGACUCCAGGUGAACCGCUGCUGCUGACGGCAGCCAUUCUGCGCUUAAUCUGUCUGACGGCCGCGACGGCUGUUCACACAGCAGCAGUAUGAAACUCUCUCCCCUUUCUUUUUUUUUGUCCUCCUCCACUCAAAACUGUGUUAUUUCAGUGUGCAGCAUGAUGAAUUUGGAUAAUUUUACACUUUCAUCCACUGAAGAGGAAAAGUUUCUCUUAAAGGCUUAGUAUGUAAUUUCUGCCACCAGGGGCCUCACAGUCAAAACAACGAAAACCAAGAACUAGUUUGAUAGCGUUCUGAAGUAGCAUGGGGUCAUUGGAAUUGUUGUCUUCAUUGUUAAACAACCAUCAUUGUUGAUGAAACAAUGUCCAUGUGACUCAUUCAGAAAUCUUGACAGACAAGAUAAAAUUUUAAAGUUUUAUUUUUGUUCCUCACUUCCUGAUGUAUCUUUGUAUGUUUCCCCUGAAGUUACAACAACAGGCCACCAAAUGAAAUGCACCAUUACCUUGAGUAAAAAUACGGUCUUCUCCGGGUUUAAACAUUGCUAUGAAUGUUUCAGAUAAUCUAAGAACACAACUCCAAAAAAUACAGAACAGAGUUAUAAUGUUUUGGGGCAUUUUGAAUGAAAACUACUACGGACUUUUCAACGAGGCAGGAGUAGAUGACAUUUUAAAAUGAGGCAAAUUAUUUUGCAGUAGGAGACUCAUGAACUGAAUGUGAAUUCAGCAAAUUAAAAUUUUAACGUGAAACUAAAAGAACACUGUCUGUAAACUGGACAUUUUCUCAAGCCGCUGACUUUUAUUCACAUAUGAACAAAACCAUCAACAUGUGAGAUUUACCACUUCACAUGGGAAUUGCAAACAUUCGUGUGAUUGAAUGUGGAUGAGAAUUUCUGCGCGUGUGAACAAAACGUGCAUGAACUCGGCUUCUCGUGUGAACAGCAGUUUAAUAAUGCGAAAAUAGGAAAUGUUGCAUGUGAACUGGACAUUUUCACAAGGAAAUAACAUAUUUUUUAUACCUGAUUGGGUUUUUAAAAUAUGUGGAUUAGAAACUCUAAUAUGUCUAAAUCAUACAUGAUGUGCACACACCCACAGAGAAGUAUUAAAAGUUUGAAUAAAGUGAAUUACAGAUGUUUAAAUAUGUUUCAAUUGUAAAAUACUGUCACUUUCAAUUUUUCUUGUGAUAUAAAUUUGAAUUCAUAGUGAGUAUAUGUUGACUGUUCACUAUAGCUUAGCCUCCUGUUAUUUAAGAUGUAAUUAUUAGUGUUGCUGUGAAAUAUUAGUGAGUGACUUAAUGAAAGGAGUGUUGAUGUAAACUGAUAUUUGCAUGUUGCAUCUUAAAUUUGACGUAUGAAAACACAGUCCAAGAGAUAAAGGCAGAACGCUUCUUCCCAGCAGGAUCCCAAGAUGUGAAAAGACAACAAACACAGCAAGAAAUUGAACUUACAAGCAAAAGACAACAUAUAAACAGAUAAAAAGCUAAAGAAUGUCAUCCAUAAACUGUCCCCCUCUAGCCUGACUCCUGACUGUGAAUCCUGUUUCCUCGGCUUCACAUCUGACCAUUUCACAGCAAAGCAGCAGCACGUUUCCCCCCACAGAUCGAGUCCAGCGCAGCCACAGCCCCGGCACUUUCACACACCGCAUGCAGGAUCGCUGCAUAUGAAAUGAACUGUAGGUACAUUGAUCACAUCGCUGGCUCCUCGGGCUCUCACGUGUUUGUCUUUUGCAGUGUGAACAGACUAAGCCCCUCUACUCAGCUGUCAUAAUUUGUUAACGAGUCUUUUCAGGGAGGGGGGAAAAGAAAAAGGAGAAGACAGAAAAAAAAGAAAAGAAGGCUCUUCACGACUGACUGAAAGCAGAGGUCCAUCCAGAGAGGGAACCCAGGGGCGACAUCAGACCGAUUUCAGACCAGCCCGUGAUGGCAUCUCUGUAUAUUUUAAUAUUAAUGACCCCGGCCGCAAAGCCGCCUCUAAGCCUUCAACAGGUGCCCCAGCCCCACUCGAGUCUGAAAAACCCCGGGAUCAUUCAACAUCCAACUAUCCACCACCAGCAGCACCACCACAGGGCAAUAAAGACUGCAAAUGAGGAGGAUGAAGAGGAAGAGGUGGGAGGAAAAAAGACAUAAAGAGUGGAAAGGGGAGUUAGAGAGUCAGUCAUCUCUUGCAAAUAAGUUUUUUUUUUUUUUGAGUCACUUUCCCCCGAGCUGAAACACGGGUCGAUAUUUCUCUCCCCCCCACCUCCCCUCCCCUCCCUUGAGAAAGAGAUUGACUUUUGUUUGGAGUUUGUGAGAAGUGGGAAUCAGAGGCGGGACAAUGG